UACGUAGGGACCAAGCGUUGUUCGGAUUUACUGGGCGUAAAGGGCGCGUAGGCGGCGUGACAAGUCACUUGUGAAAUCUCCGGGCUUAACUCGGAACGGUCAAGUGAUACUGUUGUGCUAGAGUACAGAAGGGGCAAUCGGAAUUCUUGGUGUAGCGGUGAAUGCGUAGAUAUCAAGAGGAACACCAGAGGCGAAGGCGGAUUGCUGGGCUGAUACUGACGCUGAGGCGCGAAAGCUAGGGUAGCAAACGGG
Molecule: ribosomal RNA, 252 nt
Filed under: uncultured bacterium
Lineage: Bacteria
Description: partial 16S ribosomal RNA
Rfam family: Bacterial small subunit ribosomal RNA
Source: RNAcentral